Long non-coding RNA from Ornithodoros turicata, 2172 nucleotides. RefSeq lists it as uncharacterized. The transcript has 2 exons. The record is from RefSeq and is a predicted model, not a curated record. NCBI's taxonomy places the organism in Eukaryota, Metazoa, Arthropoda, Arachnida, Ixodida, Argasidae.
CUAGCUUUGAAUCACUUUGAAAUUAAAACUGAUGUCUUAAACACAACAGAUCUAAUUGAAGCGGACCAUAAGUAACUAUAAGUAAGGUCUGCGCACACUACUAUCAAGCUCCAGUAAAAGCAUGUAGAAUAAAAAAAAGCUUGUAAAAUCGAAAAAUAAAUAAUCUGUGUUUAUCUUUGUCUCGGUCUGGUUGUGUGUCAUUUUUAUCACACUGUCAGCGCAACGCUGCAGAAACAAAUGACAGUACACUGAUAUAUCGUUAAUAUUGCAUAGUAACGUUCCUUGGAUAUUGUUUCUGCAUAACUGCUGCUACAUUACACAUACAUAAGACAACAUCAGCCUUGCCAUGCAAUGCUUCUGCAUUAAUUGUUUCUACGGUAUUGGUGCAACAUAACACAGGUCGACAUUAGCAACAUAACAUCAAUAUUGCAUUGUAAUAUUGACAUUAUGCAACAAUUUGUGCUGGCUGUUGGGUGCUGGAUCGCAGUGUUGUACUGCUCAUGUGGCACACACAGUACAAUGAAAUACUGCUGACUGUACAUUAUUAUGUCACACAGCUCUUUUUUUUUUUCUUUUUGCUUCUACACACAUUUGUAAAAACGUAUUGGCUUUAUUUUUUACAUGAACCUAAGUACUAUGAGUAUGGCAUGGUAGCGCAUUUGUUCUGAUGACUCAUGGCCUAUUUCUCCGCCCGUUUUCCAGGUACGACAUUUUAAAGAGUGCAACGACUGGCCCGAUAACUACAAUCUUUGGAAUUUAUCUGUCUGCAUUGAUGAGCCUCAACUGCUGAACAUCACGGACAAAAAUGCUCAGUCUGCCAAAACACUUCUGUCUAACGAGCGAACACUUAUUUUUGUUUAUUGCGAACAAUUAUUGUGACUAACACUUCGUUUCUCUGUGUAACAGUACAUUCCAGCUUAUGCUAUACUGCUUUGUGUGCUUUCUCGUUUCACUCCCAUCGCCGAUUCACUUCCACAUAAGCUCACCGCAGCUUUAUACGUUGAUGUAAACCAUAUUGACGUGAUAUCUUAAUAGAGCCCACCACAGUUUAUUUUUGUUUUUUUGUUGUGGAGGAGGGUAUUGGAGGUGGGGGCGCUGCAAAAAUUCCUGCCUCAGCAUUAGCAUUAUUCUGGACGUUCUCGUUUUCAUGCAUACCAAAUUUCCUUUUCACUUUCCAGGUGCCAAAGUUCAUCCAACCCAAGUGACGAGAGAGUUCAGGUGCAGGUUUUGCCACUACGCUUCGAAACGCAAAGACCACGUAAGGACGCACGAGAAGACUCACAAUGCAGUCAGACCGUACAAGUGCGAUCUGUGUCCAAAGACGUUCAAGUGGAAGCAGUGUCUAAAGACGCACAUGUACGUGCAUACGACGGUGAAAUCCUACGUGUGCAAGACCUGCAACAAGGCAUUCAAGCAUCCGAGAGGCCUAUACAAACACGCGGCGGUUCACAAGGACAAAACGCGUUGCGAAGUUUGCAAGAAGGUCUUGUGCUCGUCGGACAGCCUCGAGAGCCACAUGAUGAUACAUACGGGAAAGUUCCCGUACGAGUGUGUCAUUUGCUCGAAGAAGUUCCGCUGCAAGAAGCAGCUGGGUGACCAUCUGUUAGUUCACGACUGAUUAAUGACACAUAAUUAUUAGGAUUUUCGGUGUUUAUAAUUUCCUCCCUAAUGUAAUAAUUAGUAAUAAUAAUUUUUAAUUAACAAUAAUAAUAAUUAAUAAAUAAACCUCCCGUAAUGUGGCAAAAAUGCACGCCAAACCAAAUUACAGUAGUACAAGACCAUCUCUUAGUUCAUGACUGAUUAAUGACACAUAAUUAUUAGGGUUUUCGGUGUUUAUAAUCUCCUCCCUAAUGUAAUAAUUAAUAAUCAUAAUUUUUAAUUAACAGCAAUAAAAAUUAAUAAAUAAACCUCCCGUAAUGUGGCAAAAAUGAACGCCAAACCAAAUUACAGUAGUACGAGAUUGAAUUGACUUUAAAACUGAAUGAAAUAACAGGGUAGCUUCUCUUUGGCACUUAUGUUUGCCCUAUCUCGUAAUACCUCGGAAAAUAUAAACGCCGGAUACCACCCAUAUAAUCAAUCGGUCUGUGCCACAUGACCAAGUUGAUUCAUUUUUCAUACGAGGGUCCUCAUACAGCUUGCUCUUUAACUAUGAAAUAAAGACUUUAAAGCAGU